UACGUAGGGCGCAAGCGUUGUCCGGAAUUAUUGGGCGUAAAGAGCUCGUAGGCGGCUUGUCACGUCGGGUGUGAAAGCCCGGGGCUUAACCCCGGGUCGGCAUUCGAUACGGGCAGGCUAGAGUGUGGUAGGGGAGAUCGGAAUUCCUGGUGUAGCGGUGAAAUGCGCAGAUAUCAGGAAGAACACCCGUGGCUAAGGCGGCUCUCUAGUACGUGACUGACGCUGAGACGCGAAAGCGUGGGGAGCGAACAGG
This 253-nucleotide ribosomal RNA is filed under the name uncultured bacterium. Its description in RNAcentral is "partial 16S ribosomal RNA". It matches the Rfam family "Bacterial small subunit ribosomal RNA", at positions 524 to 776 of the family's 1533-position model. The record is from RNAcentral.